This 502-nucleotide ribosomal RNA is filed under the name Palmatina coxi. Its description in RNAcentral is "partial large subunit ribosomal RNA". It matches the Rfam family "Bacterial large subunit ribosomal RNA", at positions 1829 to 2597 of the family's 2925-position model. The record is from RNAcentral. Lineage: Eukaryota; Metazoa; Mollusca; Gastropoda; Architaenioglossa; Diplommatinidae.
GGCUUGUUGAUUUUUUUGUAUAAUAAGUCUAACCUGCCCACUGAAAAUUUUAAAGGCUGCAGUAUCCUGACUGUACGAAGGUAGCAUAAUAAUUUGUCUUAUAAUUGAAGAAUGGAAUGAAUGGUUUGACAAGGGUGGAUCUGUCUCUUAAAUAUUUAUUUGAAGUUAAUUUUUAGGUUAAAAAGCCUAAAUAAAAUUAAAGGACGAGAAGACCCUAUUGAGCUUUAAUGAAUAAAUUAAUAAUAGUGAUAUUCAAAUUAAUUAUAAAUUUAUGAAUUUUAGUUGGGGCGACUAAGGAACAUAUAAAACUUCUUUUUUUACUAAAAAAAGCUGUUUUUUGAUCCAAUAUUUUUGAAUUAAAAUCAAGCUACCAUAGGGAUAACAGCGUUAUCUUUUUAGAGAGUUCUUAUCGAAAAAAAGGAUUGCGACCUCGAUGUUGGAUUAAAAUAUAAUAAAGGUUGUAGAAGCUUUUAUGAUUAGUCUGUUCGACUAUUAAAAUUUU